This 948-nucleotide long non-coding RNA is filed under the name Marmota monax (woodchuck). Lineage: Eukaryota; Metazoa; Chordata; Mammalia; Rodentia; Sciuridae. The record is from RNAcentral.
UUUCUAGAUUGGUUGCACCCAUUUGCAGUUGGAUCAACACUUGGAGAGAAAUUGGGAGGCAACGUAGUAGUUUCACUUGAAGGAAAACCAUUAUCAAAUGACCAUCAAGUGCCAUCUGGAUCUUAAGGGGAUUUCAUUUCUCCAUCUCAGUCCAUUGGAAUAGCAUUAGGUGUUUUUUCAUUUUUGUUUUUUUUCCCUUUCCUCUGGGCCCUUCCAAUACAGUGAAUGAAGGAGAUAUCAUUCAUUUAAGCAGCCUGUCAGUGAUUGACAUUAGACUCUUCAAAAUGGUUACUUUUAUGUAGAAGGAAUAUCUUCCUGUCUUUAUUUUAGCCAAAACAACUGAUUAUAUGCCUCCUUUGCAGCAAGCACUACAAUGAAUGUGAUUGUCAAUGUGAAUAGUCUAGAAUACUGCAAAGGGUAAGCAGAUUGAAUGCCUUGAAAGUAUUACCCACUGGUCAGAUGGUGAACUUUUUUCAGUAUUAUUUAUAGUUGCACUUGAUUGUAGUUCUGUGAGGCCCUGGAGCUCUACACCUCACCUGCCUUGGCAAGCCUUCUUUUGUGACAUGGCAGCACGAAUAUAACACUAUGCAUUAAAAGCACUUUUUAAAAUGAGUUUAAUUCCCCCAAAGGAACGUCAAUUAAGUUUCACUAACUGUGUCAUCAAUUUAUCCUAGUACCUGAGUGUUCAUUCGUAUUACCUGCAUAUCUUCUUAAAAGAAAUAGCUGUUAUUAAUGCCUUUUUGUUUUCCAUUGAAUGUACACUACUGAAUAAGUGUAGGAGUUUUAUGUUUACCCUGUGAGUCUUGCAGCACUAAAGAUAUUUUGAAUAUCAGUCAUGAUGGCAAUUUCUGUAUAAAAGAGCCUUAAAUGGAACAUUGUUUUGAGAUCAAACUCCCCACCCUCACAAAAAUGGCCAGGUUGCAAUAAAAAUUGUGGCAUGUUAAAAAA